UUUUAAAUCUUCUAAUUGUUCACAGUUUACCCUGCAUGCAUUUCUAUAAUCUAUUUUUACAAUAGCGCAUCACAAUUUAUCUCUAGAAACUAGAAAAUGUAUGUCUGAGUGAAAUAAAGCCCUGAAGAUUUUGCUGUACGUUUGAAUCCCGUCGAAGUCCACUCCGCGUUUUACGUCUCUCCACGUCUGCAGUCGCCGAUUCCCCCAUAAUCCUCAGCGGCGUCAGCGUGUGUUUUGAGUACGGAGGUCAUGAACACAAACGCGUUUUAAGGCGCGAAGAUGCCCCUUCCCUUAAACAGCACGCAGAAUGUCGUUUAGCCCUCAAACAGAGGUCAAUUCUUCAAACACGUGAACGCGUACAGGGAGACGCGCGCACGUACUCCGGGGAACAUGUGCUCGUGCAGGACCAGAUGACAUUUUCACUGGAGAAAGCAAUAUUAUGGAUCAUGGAUUAAGUUAAAAACGUCUUAAUGAUGGAUUUGUUUCUUACAAACACUCAGCUUUUCACUUCACAAGACGUUUAUUGAUGGACUGGAGUGGUGUGGAUUAUUGUGAUGUUUUUAUCAGCUGUUUAGACUCUCAUUUUGACGGCACCCAUUCACUGCAGAGGAUCUAUUGAUUUGCAAGUCAUGUAACAUUUCUCCAAAUCUGAUGAAGAAACAAACUCAUCUACAUCUUGGAUGGCCUUGCAGCAAAUUCUCAGCUAAUUCUCAUUUUAGGGUGAACUAUACCUCAAUCUGAGCUUCUGUAAAAAUUUUGAAAUAUCCUUCAUGCGAACAUAAAUAUCUAAAAGAUUUAUUCAGUAAAUGGAUUGUGAGAAUUGAGUCAUGUUUAUUCUAGAGAGCAUUUGAUGGAACAAAAAUUGGUAUACGCCCUGUGAAAAAGAUGGGUCAUUAUAUUGUUGAUACAUUUACACCAAAUGUACCAAUAUUUGGACUUGAGUGCAUCAACAUAUUGGACAAGCAGGAAUUGAAGGAUUAUGCCAUAAUAUUAGUUUUCACAUUAAUUAUGUGGACCAUUCGAAAUGCAAUCCUUAUGUGAUGAAAUAUGAUUACAU
Long non-coding RNA from Cyprinus carpio carpio, 1057 nucleotides. Lineage: Eukaryota; Metazoa; Chordata; Actinopteri; Cypriniformes; Cyprinidae. The record is from Ensembl.